AGAAUGAACGCUGGCGGCGUGCUUUACACAUGCAAGUCGAGCGAGGCGGGUAGCAAUACCCAGUCGAGCGGCGAACGGGUGAGUAACACGUGGAUCAUCUACCUUCAGGUGGGGGAUAACCCGGGGAAACUCGGGCUAAUACCGCAUAACAUCGCGAGAUCAAAGGGGCGCAAGUCCCGCCAGAAGAGGAGUCCGCGUUCGAUUAGCUAGUUGGUAGGGUAAUGGCCUACCAAGGCCACGAUCGAUAGCCGGCCUGAGAGGGUGAUCGGCCACACUGGAACUGAGACACGGUCCAGACUCCUACGGGAGGCAGCAGUGGGAAUUUGCGCAAUGGGCGAAAGCCUGACGCAGCAACGCCGCGUGGAGGAUGAAGGUCUUUGGAUUGUAAACUCCUGUCAGCAGGAAAAGGCCUGGCCACACAGGUCAUUGAUUGUACCUGCGAGAGGAACGCCCCGGACUAACUCGUGUCGCCAGCAGCCGC
This 481-nucleotide ribosomal RNA is filed under the name uncultured soil bacterium. RNAcentral describes it as "bacterial SSU rRNA". It matches the Rfam family "Bacterial small subunit ribosomal RNA", at positions 26 to 518 of the family's 1533-position model. The record is from RNAcentral.